RNA transcript from Quercus robur (English oak), 2426 nucleotides. RefSeq lists it as uncharacterized. NCBI's taxonomy places the organism in Eukaryota, Viridiplantae, Streptophyta, Magnoliopsida, Fagales, Fagaceae. The transcript has 5 exons. The record is from RefSeq and is a predicted model, not a curated record.
UUUCAUUACUCCCACUACUGUUUUACUUCUUUUACUCUCUCUCUCUCUCUCUCCCUAUCUCAAAGACAACACUCUCUUUCACUUUAUUCUUAUAAAAAAAAAAAUCCAGCUCGAACUGUGUAGUCUUUACUCAUUUCACGACCAUCUCGUCCUUCCUUUCUCUCUCUAAACGCAAACCCAUCUCUAGUUUUUAUUUUUAUAUACUGCUCAUUACUGCAAUGCCAAGUUUGGUCAUGGUAGAUCCACCAUUCUGAGCAAAACCCAUUAUUUCUAAGACCAUUUCCACAAACAUGGGUGUUCUGGUUGAGUCUUGGUGUUUCUGCAAAGGUGUAGGAAAGUCUGAGAGAAUGAAAGCUACCAUUUUUACUAACAAAGCUUCUGCCAUGGCCAGAAUCUCUGACGGCACUGGCUUCUUGAUCCACCGGAAUCUCCUCUUGACCACUCAUGCUAAUCUUCCCUCUGUGACUUCUGCCGAGAGCUCCGAGAUCCGCCUCCAAAAUGGUGUCGCCGCCACUCUUGUUCCUCACAGGUUUUUCGUAACAAGUUCUGUUUUAGAUCUUACAAUUGUGGGUUUAGAUGCCAUGGAUGGAGAUUCAAAUGCCCAGGGGCAGCAGCCUCACUACUUGAAAACCUGUUCUAAACCAAAUCUGGAUCUGGGAAGUGUAGUUUACCUCUUAGGCUACACGGAGAAAAAGGAAUUAACAGUUGGUGAAGGAAAGGUAGUGAUUGCCACUGACAAUCUCAUAAAAUUGUCAACAGAAGGAGUAAUAUGGAGUCCUGGGUCUGCUGGAUUUGAUGUACAAGGCAAUCUUGCAUUCAUGAUCUGUGAUCCUAUGAAACUAGCCACAUCGCCAAAUACCAAGUCUUCCUCAACUUCAUCAUCAUCCUCAUUGUCGUGGAAGAAGGAUCUUCCUCUGCAAUUUGGUAUUCCUAUUCCCAUCAUCUGUGAUUGGUUAAACCAGCAUUGGGAGGGCAGCCUUGAUGAACUUAACAAACCAAAGUUGCCAAUCAUUCGAUUAAUGUCUGCGGGCCAGAGGAGUGAGCAUUCUUGUGCUUCAUUCACACUGCGUCAAGUAUUUAAGUCAACCGAAAAUGAUAAUGAUGGAACCUCAUCUUCAUCCAAUAUAAUCUCUAAAGCAAGGGAUCAAACUGGGCCAACCUGUUCUGCUCCAGCAAACAAUGCUGAAGGAGAAACCCUGACAAAUGAUUUGCAUUCAACCCAUGUGCAAGGAAUUCCAACUCCAGAAAUAUAUGAAUCACCCAAGUUAACUUCAGUUCCUGUUAGGAAGAAAGAAAGUGUACAAAUCCAGCUUUUAGAUAUUAAUUUCCCUCCAAGGAUUUCCAAAGCAGCAGCAGUGACACAGUCAGCCAAACGACUGCCACUUAGCUUCAAUGAUAAUUGUGUUAAUGAACUUCCUCCACAGAGCCCACUGAGAGAAGACCAAAUCAAGCAUAAAGGUGUCACUAGUGCUGGUGCAGAUCCUGAGAUUUCCUCAACAGCUUCUGUAAAUGGGGUGCAAAGUGAGGUCCAGUCUAGUUCAUCUCCAAUAGAAGUUUCAGAGAUGCAGCAUGGGUAUAGCAGUGAGGGAGAGACUAUGUAUUCUGCAGAAACUGCCGAGAGUCGAAACUAUACAAGUCCUAGAGAGGGAAAGUUUCAGCAAGUGGGACGGAGCCAGAGUUGCGUAAUUUACAAUAGAUCGGGGAUUGUCCAAAGGAACUCAGUGGCUCGGAGAACAUUACUAGAAAAGCAGAGAAGUUUUAUCCAUGGAAGGAAGAUGUAUUCACAAGCGACAACUUCUCAAAGGAGUAACGACUACUAUAGCCCAACUGUAUCCUCAAUUAUGAAGAAGCGGAACAACUCAGAGCAGCCCAGCAGACCCCGGCAAAGUGCUGUUCAUUCUUCCCCAAGAUGGAUGUUUUAAUUGAUUCUUGAAAAGCGUGAUACCACAAAGAGACAUAAAAUUCCAGGUUGGUGAUAUUUAUAUCUGGAUGCUUCAGAAAUCUUAACAAAACCUGCUUGAACAAUCUUCUCCAAGCAACUGUACAUGGGGGGCAUACUAUACAUGUUUACAAAGUAACUUGGAACUGGUGUAUCGGAUAUAACUCAGGGAGUUGCUAGGUACUAUAAAGAUGAAUUGAGGAGAUGAUUGGGAACAAGUAGGACUAGGCUAUAUGCCUGCCCUACAAGAGCUACACGGCCAAAACCAUGGGCUUCUGACAGGAUUGCCUUCCCACAUUUUGUUGUUGUUGACUGGCUAUUUAGAUAAUAUGUUUUACAUGGUUAAGUGCUUAAACUUUGAACAGCCACGUGGCAUCAAUAACAUGUUUGGAUCCCAUGAAAUCAGUAGGAUGCCCAAGCAGGUUUCACUAAAUUCAUCUCAGGAAGGGACAGAGUGGCAGCUACAUUUGACUCAAACCAACCGAGC